GUGAGGAAUAUUGGUCAAUGGGCGGGAGCCUGAACCAGCCAAGUCGCGUGAAGGAAGAAGGAUCUAUGGUUCGUAAACUUCUUUUGCAGGGGAAUAAAGUGCAGGACGUGUCCUGUUUUGUAUGUACCCUGAGAAUAAGGAUCGGCUAACUCCGUGCCAGCAGCCGCGGUAAUACGGAGGAUCCGAGCGUUAUCCGGAUUUAUUGGGUGUAAAGGGUGCGUAGGUGGUUUGAUAAGUCAGCGGUGAAAGUUUGCAGCUUAACUGUAAAAAUGCCGUUGAAACUGUCGGACUUGAGUGUAAAUGAGGUAGGCGGAAUGCGUGGUGUAGCGGUGAAAUGCAUAGAUAUCACGCAGAACUCCGAUUGCGAAGGCAGCUUACUAAGCUACAACUGACACUGAAGCACGAAAGCGUGGGGAUCAAACAGGAUUAGAAACCCGAGUAGUCC
RNAcentral lists this ribosomal RNA (445 nucleotides) under uncultured bacterium. RNAcentral's name for it is "partial 16S ribosomal RNA". It matches the Rfam family "Bacterial small subunit ribosomal RNA", at positions 354 to 796 of the family's 1533-position model. The record is from RNAcentral.